RNAcentral lists this ribosomal RNA (403 nucleotides) under uncultured bacterium. Its description in RNAcentral is "partial 16S ribosomal RNA". It matches the Rfam family "Bacterial small subunit ribosomal RNA", at positions 30 to 526 of the family's 1533-position model. The record is from RNAcentral.
AUUGAACGCUGGCGGCAGGCCUAACACAUGCAAGUCGAGCGAGCGGCGGACGGGUGAGUAAUGUAUGGGGACUGCCCGAUAGAGGGGGAUAACUACUGGAAACGGUGGCUAAUACCGCAUACUAUCGGAUAACCCAUAUGGGAUUAGCUAGUAGGUGGGGUAAAGGCUCACCUCGGCGACGAUCUCUAGCUGGUCUGAGAGGAUGAUCAGCAACACUAGGACUGAGACACGGCCCAGACUCCACCGGAGGCGGCAGUGGGGAAUAUUGCACAAUGGGCGCAAGCCUGAUACAGCCAUGCCGCGUGUAUGAAGAAGGCCUUAGGGUUGUAAAUUACUUCCAGCUGGGAGGCGUUACCCGAAGAAGAAGCACCGGCUAACUCCGUGCCAGCAGCCGCGGUAAUUC